AGAGUUUGAUCCUGGCUCAGAACGAACGCUGGCGGCAGGCUUAACACAUGCAAGUCGAACGCGUGUAGCAAUACACGAGUGGCGCACGGGUGAGUAACGCGUGGAUAUCUGCCUUUUGGUUCGGAAUAACCCCGGGAAACUGGGGCUAAUACCGGAUGGUUCCUUCGGGAUAAGAUUUAUCGCCAAAAGAUGAGUCCGCGUACGAUUAGCUAGUUGGUGAGGUAAUGGCUCACCAAGGCGACGAUCGUUAGCUGGUCUGAGAGGACGAUCAGCCACACUGGGACUGAGACACGGCCCAGACCCCUACGGGAGGCAGCAGUGGGGAAUAUUGGACAAUGGGGGCAACCCUGAUCCAGCCAUGCCGCGUGAGUGAUGAAGGCCUUCGGGUUGUAAAGCUCUUUUGGCGGGGACGAUGAUGACGGUACCCGCAGAAUAAGCCCCGGCUAACUUCGUGCCAGCAGCCGCGGUAAGACGAAGGGGGCUAGCGUUGUUCGGAAUUACUGGGCGUAAAGCGCGUGUAGGCGGUUAUCCAAGUCGGGUGUGAAAGCCUUGAGCUUAACUCAAGAAAUGCACUCGGUACUGGGUGACUAGAGGACCGGAGAGGAUAGUGGAAUUCCCAGUGUAGUGGUGAAAUACGUAGAGAUUGGGAAGAACACCAGUGGCGAAGGCGGCUAUCUGGACGGUUUCUGACGCUAAGACGCGAAAGCGUGGGGAGCAAACAGGAUUAGAUACCCUGGUAGUCCACGCCGUANACGAUGGGUGCUAGACGUUGGCGAGCUUGCUCGUCAGUGUCGCAGCUAACGCGUUAAGCACCCCGCCUGGGGAGUACGGCCGCAAGGUUAAACUCAAAGGAAU
RNAcentral lists this ribosomal RNA (855 nucleotides) under uncultured bacterium. RNAcentral's name for it is "bacterial SSU rRNA". It matches the Rfam family "Bacterial small subunit ribosomal RNA", at positions 8 to 910 of the family's 1533-position model. The record is from RNAcentral.